Molecule: ribosomal RNA, 497 nt
Filed under: uncultured bacterium
Lineage: Bacteria
Description: partial 16S ribosomal RNA
Rfam family: Bacterial small subunit ribosomal RNA
Source: RNAcentral
GAUGAACGCUGGCGGCGUGCCUAAUACAUGCAUGUCGAGCGAACAGACGAGGAGCUUGCUCCUCUGACGUUAGCGGCGGACGGGUGAGUAACACGUGGAUAACCUACCUAUAAGACUGGGAUAACUUCGGGAAACCGGAGCUAAUACCGGAUAAUAUAUUGAACCGCAUGGUUCAAUAGUGAAAGACGGUUUUGCUGUCACUUAUAGAUGGAUCCGCGCCGCAUUAGCUAGUUGGUAAGGUAACGGCUUACCAAGGCAACGAUGCGUAGCCGACCUGAGAGGGUGAUCGGCCACACUGGAACUGAGACACGGUCCAGACUCCUACGGGAGGCAGCAGUAGGGAAUCUUCCGCAAUGGGCGAAAGCUUGACGGAGCAACGCCGCGUGAGUGAUGAAGGUCUUCGGAUCGUAAAACUCUGUUAUUAGGGAAGAACAAAUGUGUAAGUAACUAUGCACGUCUUGACGGUACCUAAUCAGAAAGCCACGGCUAACUACGUG